UAUGACAGGUUAUGACAGGUUAGGGUAGGUGGGACAGGAUAUGACAGGUUAAGGUAGAUAGGGACAGGAUAUGACAGGGUAAGGUAGAUAGGGACAGGACAGGAUAUGACAGGUUAAGGUAGAUAGAGACAGGAUAUGACAUGUUAAAGUAGAUAGGGACAGGAUAUGACAGGUUAAGGUAGAUAGGGACAGGAUAUGACAGGGUAAGGUAGAUAGGGACAGGAUAUGACAGGUUAAGGUAGAUAGGGACAGGAUAUGGCAGGUUAUGACAGGUUAAGGUAGAUAGGGACAGGACAGGAUAUGACAGGUUAAGGUAGGUUGGGACAGGAUAUGACAG
This is a long non-coding RNA of Oncorhynchus tshawytscha (Chinook salmon), 337 nucleotides long. NCBI's taxonomy places the organism in Eukaryota, Metazoa, Chordata, Actinopteri, Salmoniformes, Salmonidae. The record is from Ensembl.